Molecule: non-coding RNA, 345 nt
Organism: Vicia faba (fava bean)
Lineage: Eukaryota; Viridiplantae; Streptophyta; Magnoliopsida; Fabales; Fabaceae
Source: the annotation of a GenBank genome assembly
AUGACAUUGUCGGAAGGAAUGCUUUAUAUGUUUUUGUGGCGCUUACAUGUAAGCCUUGGAAUAUCUUAUAUGUUUAUGGUUGACUCGCUGUUGUGUUGUAUGUUCUUGAUGAAUAUAGUACUUUCUGCUCUUGAAUGUUUUCAUAGGAGUCGGUACUGGUACUUAUGUCACUUUACACUGGCAAUCUCAGUUGUUAGACAGGUUUCCCAUCUAGUUCACAUGAUCUGCCUAGAUUCAAAAAUGGGCAUAUUGCCUUUCCCAGCCCAUGUUAUUUUGCUCCAACCUGGAAGAACAUGGGCACAUGGCAUUUUUCUCCUCGGACUUCUAGUUCUCUUGCGAAUGUAA